Molecule: ribosomal RNA, 463 nt
Filed under: uncultured bacterium
Lineage: Bacteria
Description: bacterial SSU rRNA
Rfam family: Bacterial small subunit ribosomal RNA
Source: RNAcentral
GUACGGGAGGCAGCAGUGGGGAAUUUUGGACAAUGGGCGCAAGCCUGAUCCAGCAAUGCCGCGUGCAGGAUGAAGGCCUUCGGGUUGUAAACUGCUUUUGUACGGAACGAAACGGCGAGCUCUAAUAAAGUUCGCUAAUGACGGUACCGUAAGAAUAAGCACCGGCUAACUACGUGCCAGCAGCCGCGGUAAUACGUAGGGUGCAAGCGUUAAUCGGAAUUACUGGGCGUAAAGCGUGCGCAGGCGGUGAUGUAAGACAGAUGUGAAAUCCCCGGGCUCAACCUGGGACCUGCAUUUGUGACUGCAUCGCUAGAGUACGGUAGAGGGGGAUGGAAUUCCGCGUGUAGCAGUGAAAUGCGUAGAUAUGCGGAGGAACACCGAUGGCGAAGGCAAUCCCCUGGACCUGUACUGACGCUCAUGCACGAAAGCGUGGGGAGCAAACAGGAUUAGAUACCCCGGUAGC